GUGUCUGUAUCAAAUAGAACUGGAUUUUGUUCGUCCUCUUUUGUAAACAUUCUGGGAGAGAGAGAGAGAGGAGGAAGCAGGAGACUUUGACUCAAUCCAAACCCGAAAAGGCACCAUCUUUUAAGAUAUAUGAGUUUGUUUGGGCUGUGGUGGAAUGGAAGUGUGGUAGGGUUUCUUCUAUUGGUGCCAGGAAUUCUGGGUUGGGGCAAAGAAGGCCACCAUGCAGUUUGCAAGAUAGCAGAGAGCUACAAGAUGGAAUGGCCAGUAAAAUUUGAUGUGGUUGAGGAAAGAGUGGUUUAAUAUGAUGAGUAUUAAAAUUUGGCAGUAGAAGUUACAAUACCAUAAAGUUGGAGCAAAAUGUGUUUGAAAGGUCAAUGGAUGAAGUAAACGAGGUUUGUGCCUAUAUUGUUACUGUGAAGAUGGUGGUGAGGUGGGUUUGAAGUGGGUUUGGAAUCUUCAAUGAUGAUGGAGUUCUGAUGAGACACCUUUGUUCUGAGUGAAGAUGCUUUAGCUGCAGUGAGAGAAUUGCUACAGGAAUUUGUUGGAGGUGAUCUUGCUGCAGUUUGCUCGUGGACUGAUCAGAUUUGCUUUCAUUAUCAUUGGAGCAGUGCUUUACACUAUGUUGACACACCCAAUUUUCUGUGUAACUACAAUUACAGCAGAGACUGCCAUGACUCUGCUGGACAUAAAGGGAGAUGUGUAACUGGAGCAAUAUACAGCUAUACGAUGCAACUUUCGACUUAUCAGGAGUCCAGCUGAAAAUAAAAAUCUUCUACAUGUUGGUUUCACCGGAGAUCUAGGGUCAAACACGAUAAUAGUCCGUUGGUAUCUGCAGAAAAACAAAUCUUCACCAUGUGUGGAAUAAUAUGAUCAUUGAAUCUGCUGUAAUCUACAGUAAGGAUCUUGAACUCAUGAUAGAAGCCAUUCAAAGGAAUAUUACGGAUGCUUGGUUCAAUAAUAUGUCAUCAUUGCAGAUUUGUGCUGAUAAUCGGACAACUGUAUGUCCAAAUGAAUGGUUACUUUCUUUCUCGGCUGCCUGUCGUGGAGAAGCGGCUAGCUCGAGUGGGGUCUGCUUGGCUGCUACCCUCAACGGUAUCUUCUCUUGUGAACCAAAAAUUGCUGAAGCAUGAAGAUAAAGAAAGGAUAGGGAUGGUGAUGCAUCUUUAGAAGAACAUAAUUGGGCCCCCAUUUUUGCUGAUAAGCUAUUAAGCUUGAAGCCCUUGAAGUUCCUCAUACGCGAGUCCUCUGCUUAAUGUAUAGUUUGCUUAAUGUUACAUACUCUUACAGUCCCAACCCAUAGUACAGACCUCCUUCCGUGUUACAUACUCCUUUUAAAUUGGGAUAGCAUAGCUUGUUGCUGUUGUUGAUGCAUCGAGAAUGGAGAAACCAUACUUGACUGCGCAUAAUCCAUUAUUAAAAUUGGUUGGGAAGACAAAAUCAAUAAAGAAACAGUAGUUGCUUGAAUGACAAAGGAAUAUACAAGGCAUACUAGCCAAUGUAAUGUCGGCGAAUGUCACGAAGUCACUUCCUCGAGUGGCAAAUUAACAAUAAUAAGUUCCUGCUGUUUAUCC
Molecule: long non-coding RNA, 1571 nt
Organism: Rosa rugosa (rugosa rose)
Lineage: Eukaryota; Viridiplantae; Streptophyta; Magnoliopsida; Rosales; Rosaceae
Exons: 7
Source: RefSeq, a predicted model, not a curated record